RNAcentral lists this ribosomal RNA (449 nucleotides) under uncultured bacterium. RNAcentral's name for it is "bacterial SSU rRNA". It matches the Rfam family "Bacterial small subunit ribosomal RNA", at positions 355 to 796 of the family's 1533-position model. The record is from RNAcentral.
UGGGGAAUAUUGGACAAUGGGCGGAAGCCUGAUCCAGCAAUGCCGCGUGUGUGAAGAAGGCCUGCGGGUUGUAAAGCACUUUCGGUGGGGAGGAGAGGCCUAUGGAUAAUACCCAGAGGAAGAGACGUUACCCACAGAAGAAGCACCGGCUAACUCUGUGCCAGCAGCCGCGGUAAUACAGAGGGUGCAAGCGUUAAUCGGAAUUACUGGGCGUAAAGGGUGCGUAGGUGGUUUGGUAAGUUGGGUGUGAAAGUCCUGGGCUUAACCUGGGGAUUGCGCUCAAUACUGUCAAGCUAGAGUACUGUAGAGGAAGGUGGAAUUUCCAGUGUAGCGGUGAAAUGCGUAGAUAUUGGAAGGAACAUCAGUGGCGAAGGCGACUUUCUGGACAGAUACUGACACUGAGGCACGAAAGCGUGGGGAGCAAACAGGAUUAGAUACCCCUGUAGUCC